This 253-nucleotide ribosomal RNA is filed under the name uncultured bacterium. RNAcentral describes it as "partial 16S ribosomal RNA". It matches the Rfam family "Bacterial small subunit ribosomal RNA", at positions 524 to 776 of the family's 1533-position model. The record is from RNAcentral.
UACGUAGGUGGCAAGCGUUGUCCGGAUUUACUGGGCGUAAAGGAUGCGUAGUCGGACAUUUAAGUCAGAUGUGAAAUACCCGAGCUUAACUUGGGUGCUGCAUUUGAAACUGGGUGUCUAGAGUGCAGGAGAGGUAAGUGGAAUUCCUAGUGUAGCGGUGAAAUGCGUAGAGAUUAGGAAGAACACCAGUGGCGAAGGCGACUUACUGGACUGUAACUGACGCUGAGGCAUGAAAGCGUGGGGAGCAAACAGG